Molecule: long non-coding RNA, 451 nt
Filed under: Homo sapiens (human)
Lineage: Eukaryota; Metazoa; Chordata; Mammalia; Primates; Hominidae
Description: non-protein coding lnc-NGLY1-3:1
Source: RNAcentral
UUUUGGAGUAGAUGGAGAUGGCAUAAAAACAUCUUAGUAUAUACCUGCAGAUGGCUUUCUAGGAAAAAACAAACAAACAAAACAAACGUGUUAGUAUGUACUCACUUUGUUACAGAAUCUCAAGUAACAAUUUUACUGGUGUUCUUGAAAAGCAAAUUGUAUCUUUGCUUUAUUCCCCUGAAUUGUUACAACUAUAUCUUGAAGUAACAUUUUAAAAGAGCUCUUUUAAAAAUAGGCUUUAAACCUGGCCAGCGGAAAGUUUUAUUUACCUGUUUCAAGAGGAAUGAUAAACGUGAAGUAAAAGUUGCCCAGUUGGCUGGCUCUGUUGCUGAGAUGUCGGCUUAUCAUCAUGGAGAACAAGCAUUGAUGAUGACUAUUGUGAAUUUGGCUCAGAACUUUGUGGGAAGUAACAACAUUAACUUGCUUCAGCCUAUUGGUCAGUUUGGAACUC